UACGGAGGGUGCAAGCGUUAAUCGGGAUUACUGGGCGUAAAGCGCACGUAGGCGGUUUGUUAAAUUGGAUGUGAAAGCCCCGGGCUUAACCUGGGAAUUGCAUCCAAGACUGGCAGGCUAGAGUACGGUAGAGGGUGGUGGAAUUUCCUGUGUAGCGGUGAAAUGCGUAGAUAUAGGAAGGAACACCAGUGGCGAAGGCGACCACCUGGACUGAUACUGACACUGAGGUGCGAAAGCGUGGGGAGCAAACAGG
This 253-nucleotide unclassified non-coding RNA is filed under the name uncultured Pseudomonadaceae bacterium. RNAcentral's name for it is "contains 16S-23S intergenic spacer region". It matches the Rfam family "Bacterial small subunit ribosomal RNA", at positions 524 to 776 of the family's 1533-position model. The record is from RNAcentral. Lineage: Bacteria; Pseudomonadati; Pseudomonadota; Gammaproteobacteria; Pseudomonadales; Pseudomonadaceae.